GAUGAACGCUGGCGGCGUGCCUAAUACAUGCAAGUCGAGCGAACAGACGAGGAGCUUGCUCCUCUGACGUUAGCGGCGGACGGGUGAGUAACACGUGGAUAACCUACCUAUAAUACUGGGAUAACUUCGGGAAACCGGAGCUAAUACCGGAUAAUAUAUUGAACCGCAUGGUUCAAUAGUGAAAGACGGUUUUGCUGUCUCUUAUAGAUGGAUCCGCGCCGCAUUAGCUAGUUGGUAAGGUAACGGCUUACCAAGGCGACGAUGCGUAGCCGACCUGAGAGGGUGAUCGGCCACACUGGAACUGAGACACGGUCCAGACGCCUACGGGAGGCAGCAGUAGGGAAUAUUACGCAAUGGGCGAAAGCAUGACGGAGCAACGCCGCGUGAGUGAUGAAGGUCUUCGGAUCGUAAAACUCUGUUAUUAGGGAAGAACAAAUGUGUAAGUAAAUAUGCACGUCUUGACGGUAACUAAUCAGAAAGCCACGGCUAACUACGUG
This 497-nucleotide ribosomal RNA is filed under the name uncultured bacterium. RNAcentral's name for it is "partial 16S ribosomal RNA". It matches the Rfam family "Bacterial small subunit ribosomal RNA", at positions 28 to 507 of the family's 1533-position model. The record is from RNAcentral.